CCGUACCGGGGUUACGGAGUAACACGUAUGCAACCUGCCUGCCACAGCCGGAUAAUCGGGAGAAAUUCCGUCUAAUACGGCAUAAUGCAUCGACGGGACAUCCUGUUGGUGCCAAAGGUUAAUUCCGGUGGCGGAUGGGCAUGCGUCGCAUUAGUUAGUUGGCGGUGUAACGGACCACCAAGACGACGAUGCGUAGGGGUUCUGAGAGGAAGGUCCCCCCACACCUGGUACUGAGACACGGACCAGACUCCUACGGGAGGCAGCAG
RNAcentral lists this ribosomal RNA (266 nucleotides) under uncultured bacterium. RNAcentral's name for it is "partial 16S ribosomal RNA". It matches the Rfam family "Bacterial small subunit ribosomal RNA", at positions 89 to 354 of the family's 1533-position model. The record is from RNAcentral.